UCCGUUACCUCUCUUUUAGAUAAAUCUCCGUAUAUCCAGAUAUGUUUUAACGUCAGCUGCUCCUACUAGCUGCCUUAACUCACAGCGAGGGGGGCGGGGCUUCCCCACAGUGACCCUCCUCUGCGCUCCGCAAAAACAGCAAGCUGAUUGCCUGUUUCUCCUGAAAGGCGGGACUUUCUCCUUGAACUGGCACCGUGAUUGGCGUUAAGAUAUUUAAUAAUCUCUCAUUAAUAUGUUUUUUUUAAUAUAUUUUUUAUAAUACGGGAAAUUUACGGGAAAUUACUAAUACGGGAGGACUUACUAAUACAGGAGUUUCCCCGCCAAAACUGGAGACUUGACAGGUAUGCAUAAACACACCUGCACAUUGGUUUAGCUACAGAAAGAAAGAUUUGUGCUGUAUUUUAUUUACCUGGGAUGUGGGAGUUCAUUGCUUGGAAUGACCUCACACCAGAGGUUGUUUGCUGCGCUUCAGUUAAACAGCUAGUUAUUGUUGUUUGCAUUUCCUCAGAUUAAACUUGCUAGCCAUAUUAGCUCUUAAAAACUCUAUUACUAGGGGUGUGUGAUAUCUAUCGUCUACAAUAAUAUAUGCUAAUCAUGAUGCUAAUCACUGGGGUCAAACCGCUCUCUCCACUGGGGGGAGCCGUUAGCCUCAGUUAGCUUCACCUGUGUCAUUAAAUCCACAAAAGAAGUCACGACAAACCGCAAGGAGGGCAGCAGUGUUUUACUACAAACACUCCAAAGAAUUAAACAAACACGGGCUGUGUGUGGGAGCAGGAGCGCACCCCUCCCGUUCGCCUUCUGCCAGGUCCAAACAGAGAACAAACAUGGUGGAGUCUCAGAAAAAAAAGGAGAAAAAGAGAGAGAGAGAGAGAGAGAAAGAGAGAGAGAGACACUCAGGAAUCUGAUCAGGAGGAUAAAAUGCAGUACUAGACAGUGAAGUGUUGUCUCUUCACUCAAGGACCCAGGCAACGAGGACAGAAAUAGAAGGAAGGAAACUGAAAUGUAAGUAAAAGCAUGGAUACACACUGUGCUAAUUUCAUAUCUGAAACACGACUAACCAUCCAGCCCAGGCCAUUCAGAUAUCCUACAUUAGCCAGACUCUAAAAAAAUGUAGUGCUUUGUGUAUCUGUGUAAAUCUAGCCCCUGUUUGAAAAGGGGUGGAAAAAAGAAACAGCAGUCUAAGGAAGAAUGCAGCUCCCUAAAAUACAUAGUUUGUUAAUGAAACGUGAAAUAUGCUUUUUGAAGUAUGGUAAACCUGGUAAGUUGUAGCACAUUUAUAUAAGAUAAGCGAAAGUAAGCAAAAAGCAAACAGAAU
Molecule: long non-coding RNA, 1315 nt
Filed under: Astyanax mexicanus (Mexican tetra)
Lineage: Eukaryota; Metazoa; Chordata; Actinopteri; Characiformes; Acestrorhamphidae
Description: lncRNA (ENSAMXG00005012922.1)
Source: RNAcentral